ACGCACGCUGGCGGCGUGCUUAACACAUGCAAGUCGAACGGAAAGGCCCUGCUUGCAGGGUACUCGAGUGGCGAACGGGUGAGUAACACGUGGGUGAUCUGCCCUGCACUUCGGGAUAAGCCUGGGAAACUGGGUCUAAUACCGGAUAUGACCUUCCAUGUAGUGUGGGGGGUGGAAAGAUUUAUCGGUGUGGGAUGAGCCCGCGGCCUAUCAGCUUGUUGGUGGGGUAAUGGCCUACCAAGGCGUCGACGGGUAGCCGGCCUGAGAGGGUGGACGGCCACAUUGGGACUGAGAUACGGCCCAGACUCCUACGGGAGGCAGCAGUGGGGAAUAUUGCACAAUGGGCGGAAGCCUUAUGCAGCGACGCCGCGUGGGGGAUGACGGCCUUCGGGUUGUAAACCUCUUUCGACAGGGACGAAGCUUCGGUGACGGUACCUGUAGAAGAAGCACCGGCUAACUACGUG
RNAcentral lists this ribosomal RNA (464 nucleotides) under uncultured bacterium. RNAcentral's name for it is "partial 16S ribosomal RNA". It matches the Rfam family "Bacterial small subunit ribosomal RNA", at positions 29 to 507 of the family's 1533-position model. The record is from RNAcentral.